Fundulus heteroclitus (mummichog) is the source of this 661-nucleotide long non-coding RNA. RefSeq lists it as uncharacterized. Lineage: Eukaryota; Metazoa; Chordata; Actinopteri; Cyprinodontiformes; Fundulidae. The transcript has 4 exons. The record is from RefSeq and is a predicted model, not a curated record.
AUGUUGAAUAUACGGUGGGGGAAUCCCCCCAAUGACGCUACUGAUCAUGUGAUACUGUAGUAAUGUCACUUGGGGAAUCCCCCCUUACGCUUUUCGGCUGUGUAACAAUAUAUGUUUAAUUAUUUUUCAGACCUCACAGGUGUGGAGCAAGAAAAUGUACUUUUAACACCGUUGAACUACGGGUUUUUAAAUGGGAACGUUCUAUAAGAUAAUGAAGGAGUCCUCAGAAGAACUUGAAGUGAAGCAGACCUCCCUCAGUCCGGGCUAUUUCUACCACAAAAUCCAAGAAUCAAACCCUUCCCAUGAUUACUGGCUCUUCUACAACCUAAUCCACGGCAAAAUAUUUACUAAUGUUUAUUGGAGUAAUCAUUUUUCUUAAAUCAUGAUUUUAUUCUUGUGUUUUUGCCCCCAAAAACAGCAAGCGGUCUAACCCAGACAGAAGGCUACAAAGAGAUCUGCAAUAAGGAAAAGUAUCCCUCUUCAGCACACUGUGAAAAGGAGAAAGACAUUUAUGUGUGAAAUGUUUGUCUCCCCUUUUUAGAUAAUUUCAAGGCUCACAAUCCAUAUAAAAUUAACCAUUGUAAAAAUGUAAAAUGAUUGUAGCUAACUUUAUGGUGCUUACUGCUGUUUCUUGUUCUUCAUUCAAUUUUGCACAAAUAUC